RNAcentral lists this long non-coding RNA (1016 nucleotides) under Androctonus crassicauda. Lineage: Eukaryota; Metazoa; Arthropoda; Arachnida; Scorpiones; Buthidae. The record is from RNAcentral.
UUCAACAUAAUAAAAUAGUAAAUAAAAAACAAAUAUAAAACAAUCCAAUAUUAUUUGUUUUCAUUUUGCAUGAUUUUUUUUUUUUUGCCUCAUUUUGUUUUUAUCCUUAUUGAAAGCAGGUCUUUUUUUAACUAAAUAUUUUUUUAGAAUCUUGAGAUUCUCAAGAAUUUCCAAAAGGGAAUAUCAAGAAAUAAAUUACUGAUUCAGGAAUUCCCAAAUUUUGAGAAAGCUAAAAGUUCAGGAAAACAUAAUCACUAAUAAAAAUGACAUAAUUAUGUUAUGGUUGGCAACUCUGUGAUAUAAAGAUCUGUAUUUUUAAUUUCUGGUCAACUUGCAGCCAUCAGUGAAUUCGGGAAAUGAAAAGAUGGCAGUGGUUUUGGAGCCAAUAAGGCUCAUACUUGAUGAUAGGUUAGGAACAGUCAUGUAUAAUAUAAACAUUUUAGGUGCAAACUUAAACAUAACACAUGACUACAUUGUUUUAAAUGAUCAGUUACAAUUCAAAAAUUGAACAUACAAAUGAAGUAUAGUGUUUAAAAAAAGAAAACAGCUGACAAUGUCCCAAGUUUGGCUCCAACAGGAAAUGAAUGAAAUGACCUUGGAUGUCAUAUCAUGUCUAUAGCACAAACAAGAUCAAUAUAAAGUGUGUCCAAAAUUAAAAGGCAAUAACUGCAAUAAAAUGAAGAUGGUAGUAAGCCAGAGGCAAAGCUUAUAUGUAUAAAGGCUUUUUUGUGCAUGUAAAAUAUAUUAAUGUAUGUCAUAUCCAUAUCAUGGUAGUGUACUUUCAAACAGAAUGUUCAAAAGCAGACAAAACAUUUAUUUGGAAAAGGAGGAUUAUUUGUGAUUGCAGAUUGUUCAAAAUGAGCAGUGUGCAAUGGAUAAGUUUUCUCAUAGUUGAAGAAUCCAGCUUUGUUGAGUCACUGUUGAUUGUCUGCAAUUUAUGGGAAUUACUGCUCUUCAUGCAAAACUGCAUAAGUGGUGGAGGUUUUUUAAAAUAAACCUAAUUAAUAUGCAAAAAA